CCCUGACCAAGAUUUUGCUAAAUUAAAAUAUGACUGUACACAGCUCCUGAACAAGUUUAAGGACUAAACGACAAAUCCUUCUUUGUCGAGUCUAAAUAGUCCUAAGGACUUCACCAUAACACAGGAGUUCAUUAGAAGAUGAAACAAUUUAUGAUGAAAAAUAUCAAAAUAAUAUUUAAUAAUUUAUAAUUCAUAUACUAAUAUAAGAAAGAGCACAAUCAUCAACAAGC
This 230-nucleotide long non-coding RNA is filed under the name Elaeis guineensis (African oil palm). Its description in RNAcentral is "long non-coding RNA (EGUI_LNC071948)". The record is from RNAcentral. Lineage: Eukaryota; Viridiplantae; Streptophyta; Magnoliopsida; Arecales; Arecaceae.